Molecule: RNA transcript, 2100 nt
Organism: Carassius carassius (crucian carp)
Lineage: Eukaryota; Metazoa; Chordata; Actinopteri; Cypriniformes; Cyprinidae
Exons: 13
Source: RefSeq, a predicted model, not a curated record
GAACUGAGAGAGCCUCCAGGCUCACGUAGCCUGGGCUAAAGGCUUAUCAGAGGCUAAGCCAGGGGGGGGGGGGGGGGGGGGCAGUAAAGCUAGUCUCAGUCGACCAGAGGUACGGGCACAAGGCCAUCUGUCCAUUUUCUGAAUACAUCUGACAACAAAGGAGGGCAACUCCGCACUCAGGGAAUCAUACACACUCCGAAGCCUCAAACGUUAACUCAUCCUGGAUUGACAAGGCAAGAAGAGUUGGAAAAGAAACUGUUCCCGUCUCUUUAGCAAGUUCCUCUGCUGCUGGAGUGUCAUGGAAAAAGGGACCACAUUUCAUUUAACAGCUUAUAGACAGUCUGUUUGAAGCAUCUAGACCCAAGAGAAGUAUGAAUAUGAAUGAGAAGGAGGGAGGAGUAUGUGAGGGGGGGCUAAAUGUCACCCUCACCAUCCGCCUACUAAUGCAUGGCAAGGAAGUUGGAAGUAUCAUUGGGAAGAAAGGAGAGACUGUCAAAAAAAUGAGAGAGGAAAGUGGAGCCCGGAUUAAUAUAUCUGACGGUUCCAGUCCAGAGCGCAUUGUCACCAUUACCGGACAGUCUGAGGUCAUCUUCAAAGCCUUCGCCAUGAUCGCAGAGAAAUUUGAGGAGGACAUCCUGGCAUCUAUGAUAAACAGCACCGUGAUGAGCAGGCCUCCUGUGACACUGCGCCUCGUCUUCCCUGCCAGUCAGUGCGGUUCACUCAUUGGCAAAGGAGGCUCGAAGAUCAAAGAGAUCAGAGAGAGCACAGGUGCCCAGGUCCAGGUGGCAGGAGACCUACUGCCCGACUCGACUGAGAGAGCCGUAACCAUCUCAGGCACACCUCACGCCAUUACACAAUGCGUGAAACACAUCUGCACCGUCAUGCUGGAGUCUCCACCUAAAGGAGCCACCAUUCCAUACCAUCCCAAACCCACCACCGGUGCCAGCCACUCAGUGUUGGCGCAACCUCAUGCUGCGUCAGCAUUUGCUAUUCCAGGACAGUUUGCCAUUCCACCCCAAGAUUUGACCAAGCUUCACCAGUUGGCUAUGCAGCAUAUCCCCCUUACCUCCCUUGGGCAGAGCAACCCCACCUUCCCUGGUACGUACCCAGAGCUCCCCGGGGAAGUCUGUCUCUCCCUUUGUCUGUCUCUCUGCCUGUCUUUCUCUCGAUCUGUCUCUUUCCCCUCUCCACUCUUUCGUCUGUCGUGUCUGACCACCUCCGUCUCAUGCAUUCACCACCGCAUGUUCUACUUUUCCACUCUGAAGAAAAUGAUGGCGAAGCCGUUUUUGUGGUAAGGUAAAUAAUAUCAUAACACUGGCAACAUAAUGCUGCACAUGCUGUGCCAUGAUACAACCACUAACCAGUCCUGAUAGCUCUAGAUAGUCUGCGUUCGGAUGCCAGCCGACGGCCGACGGCUCCUUUGAGCUGUCUAGAAAUCUCCAAAUGUGUCAUGUCACCAUAACAACAGCAUCAUGAUGGCUACGUGAUGCAUAUGUGUCACCCCCCAGUCUCUCCUUAUAUGUGAAGUCGUCACAAAGGCUUUCACUCAUUUAACAUUCUUCCCCCCUCAUGUCCUCCUCAAAACCCCUGACCUGUUCAAACUGGAAGCAUUAUCCUAAGCAAACCUGAAGCCCACUCUCACAGCAGCCCACAUUUAUCAUGACAAACAAGAGUCCACACAUUGCAAGUGCCAGCCCAUAAUUAUUACCAUGGAAAUAGGGAGUUGAAGAGCGACAGCCUCUCCACAGACGUUUCCGAUAAUGUGCGCUAUUUGGAAAUGCUUUUAUGGGUGUUUUUGAAUCUCAGGCGGAUAUGAAUUAAACAGGAAUUCUUUCAUGACUCACCCGCACAGCAGCCUUAAUGCUUCCAUACACUGGGUCUGGAGGCCUCUAUUGCAACCAGUUCUCAAGAGCUGAGCAUACCUAAUGAUCUCAUAGGCUGCAUCAUUGGCAGACAGGGCAGUAAGAUCAAUGAGAUUCGCCAGAUGUCUGGUGCCCAGAUCAAAAUUGCCGGGGCCACAGACGGUUCGGCAGUGCGCCACAUCACCAUCACAGGCUCCCCAGCCAACAUCAGCCUGGCUCAGUACCUCAUCAGUGCGAG